RNAcentral lists this ribosomal RNA (497 nucleotides) under uncultured bacterium. RNAcentral's name for it is "partial 16S ribosomal RNA". It matches the Rfam family "Bacterial small subunit ribosomal RNA", at positions 28 to 507 of the family's 1533-position model. The record is from RNAcentral.
GAUGAACGCUGGCGGCGUGCCUAAUACAUGCAAGUCGAGCGAAAAGACGAGGAGCUCGCGCCUCUGACGUUAGCGGCGGACGGGUGAGUAACACGUGGAUAACCUACCUAUAAGACUGGGAUAAUUUCGGGAAACCGGAGCUAAUACCGGAUAAUAUAUUGAACGGCAUGGAUCAAUAGAGCAAGACGGCUUUGCUGUCACUUAUAGAUGGAUCCGCGCCGCAUUAGCUAGUUGGUAAGGUAACGGCUUACCAAGGCAACGAUGCGUAGCCGACCUGAGAGGAUGAUCGGCCACACUGGAACUGAGACACGGUCCAGACUCCUACGGGAGGCAGCAGUAGGGAAUCUUCCGCAAUGGGCGAAAGCCUGACGGAGCAACGCCGCGUGAGUGAUGAAGGUCUUCGGAUCGUAAAACUCUGUUAUUGGGGAAGAACAAAUGUGUGAGUAACUAUGCACGUCUUGACGGUACCUAAUCAGAAAGCCACGGCUAACUACGUG